UACGUAGGUGGCAAGCGUUGUCCGGAAUUAUUGGGCGUAAAGCGCGCGCAGGCGGUCCUUUAAGUCUGAUGUGAAAGCCCACGGCUCAACCGUGGAGGGUCAUUGGAAACUGGGGGGCUUGAGUGCAGAAGAGGAGAGUGGAAUUCCACGUGUAGCGGUGAAAUGCGUAGAGAUGUGGAGGAACACCAGUGGCGAAGGCGACUCUCUGGUCUGUAACUGACGCUGAGGCGCGAAAGCGUGGGGAGCGAACAGG
This 253-nucleotide ribosomal RNA is filed under the name uncultured bacterium. RNAcentral's name for it is "partial 16S ribosomal RNA". It matches the Rfam family "Bacterial small subunit ribosomal RNA", at positions 524 to 776 of the family's 1533-position model. The record is from RNAcentral.